RNAcentral lists this transfer RNA (85 nucleotides) under Prevotellaceae bacterium. RNAcentral's name for it is "tRNA-Ser". It matches the Rfam family "tRNA". From Rfam's summary of the family: Transfer RNA (tRNA) molecules are approximately 80 nucleotides in length. Their secondary structure includes four short double-helical elements and three loops (D, anti-codon, and T loops). The record is from RNAcentral. Lineage: Bacteria; Pseudomonadati; Bacteroidota; Bacteroidia; Bacteroidales; Prevotellaceae.
GGAGAGAUGGCAGAGUGGUCGAUUGCGGCAGUCUUGAAAACUGUUGAACUGCAAGGUUCCGGGGGUUCGAAUCCCUCUCUCUCCG